Molecule: ribosomal RNA, 93 nt
Filed under: Neobacillus thermocopriae
Lineage: Bacteria; Bacillati; Bacillota; Bacilli; Caryophanales; Bacillaceae
Description: partial 23S ribosomal RNA
Rfam family: Bacterial large subunit ribosomal RNA
Source: RNAcentral
CCUGAAAGAUGAUCAGGUUGAUAGGUCAGAGGUGGAAGCACGGUGACGUGUGGAGCUGACUGAUACUAAUCGAUCGAGGACUUAACCAAAUAA